CGGGGGUACCUAGACCAGACAGGGGAAGACAGGCUAGGGCAGACAGUGAACAGAUCGCCAGAUGGAAUCCAAGCAGCAGUGGAGCAGGCAAUGGGAGUCACACCCGCUUGGGAUAAGCUUUUUUCUGGAGAUAUAUCUCUUCAGUUUCGGCGAAUGGUCCUUUACGAUGUCCAAACAAAGUUGUCCUGUGGCUGUUGUAUCUUGGAGAUUGCAAGGAGGAUAUCUUCUGAUGUGGAGGUCUGGUUAUGAAGAACCCUACUGGAGUCCGAUGGGCUUUCAGCAUUAGGGGUCCUGAGAGGAACUUCCCUACCUGCUCACUCGUAAGAAGCUCACUUGUUUCUUAGAGCUGAAUUGCAUUUGAGGACACUUUUGAUUAUGGUGUUUUCCCGCUAAUGGAACAUUUGCACUUAAAGCCUACUAUGUGCACAUUGCUGCGCUUAUAAUGUGAAGAAAUAUUGUAGCCUGUAAGAAAGGCCAUAUCAUGUGAUGGAGACCCAUGUGAGUGAGAGGUGCUUCAGAGUGCGCAGCACUCAAGGAGAAGGGCACAACGGUCACUGCCCACAAAAAGCAUGGAUUUUUUUAGGGAGCAUUACGGCCACAAAGGGGAUGCUGCCGUGAAAUUUGAGGCAUUAUCAAGGGAUGGUCAAAUUGUGAAUGAGAGACUGUUGACGUGUGUACAGCCUGCGCCAAAAAACACAAAGCAGAGCUUAUGCCUUUCAAGUGACUUUUUCAAGCGACGAGUCGCAUCAUGCAGCCUUUCAAUGUAUUAAAAAUCAAAACAUAUAGCCCAAUGUAUGUAGAACAACUAAAGUUACAUGAAUAACUCUAAAUUAAGCAUAUAGGAGUUCCUAUUUCAUUGUUAAACACCUCAAUAUAGAAUAGCCGAAUGUGCGCACUCCCUCAAAUCGUUUGGAGAAAAUAUUUAUAUUUUAUUCAGCUAUGUUCAAUUGUAUUCUUCAUACUAUAAAAUAAUAUAAAACACUUCCACGGAAUUCUAAGCAAAUCUUGUUUGCUAAAUGAAGUAGUGUAGCCUACAGCCAUUUGGCAUAGCCAGAUUAGGACCUAAAAUGAGGAAAACUCAAGAGUAUGCUAUUCUGUUCUUCUGAAAUAGACUACGUUUUCUUCAUAUCAUCCUUCUUUAGACCGGUCUAAAAUAAAUACUGGAUAUAUUGUGAAGGUGUUGGCUCUAUUACAUGGAUUUACUAGACUUUUUAAAAUGUAGAUGUUCCAAAGGUUUACAUCUGUCACGACUUCCGGCGGCACUCGGUGGUCGUCGUCACCGGUCUACUAGCUGCCACCAAUCCCUUUUUCCUUUUCUGUUUGUUAUGUCUGUAUUGAAUUCACCUGUUCCUUGUUUGAGAUUUGUUUUAGGGCUAUUUAAGCCGGUUGUUUUCUGUUUGUCUGUGGAUGGUUGUGUGUAGUAUGUUCUCUGACCUUUUUGGUGUCCCGUUUUGGGUUGGUCAUAUUUUGUUCGCCUGUUGUGUUGACCACUUACCCAUUUACCGAAAUAAAGUCGGUUUUCUAUGAACCCUCUGCUCUCUGCGCCUGACUCCGCACUCACCACUCCUAGCUGUGUGACAACAUCAGUGACUUGUGUGGAAACCAGGAGAUGAGACCGUGAGACGACGGUUAUUUGGUGACAAGCACCGGCUGACA
Molecule: long non-coding RNA, 1656 nt
Organism: Oncorhynchus tshawytscha (Chinook salmon)
Lineage: Eukaryota; Metazoa; Chordata; Actinopteri; Salmoniformes; Salmonidae
Source: Ensembl